Molecule: ribosomal RNA, 427 nt
Filed under: uncultured prokaryote
Description: bacterial SSU rRNA
Rfam family: Bacterial small subunit ribosomal RNA
Source: RNAcentral
UGAGGAAUUUUGGGCAAUGGGCGAAAGCCUGACCCAGCGACGCCGCGUGGAGGAUGAAGGCCUUCGGGUCGUAAACUCCUGUUCUGGGGGAAGAAAACGGGAUGCGUGAAUAAUUCAUCCCGCUGACGGUACCCCAGGAGAAAGCUCCGGCUAAUUACGUGCCAGCAGCCGCGGUAAUACGUAGGGAGCAAGCGUUAUCCGGAUUCAUUGGGCGUAAAGCGCGCGUAGGCGGCUUGUUAAGUCAGGUGUCAAAUCCAGGGGCUCAACCCUUGUCCGCACCUGAAACUGGCAGGCUUGAGUUUGGUAGAGGAAGAUGGAAUUCCCAGUGUAGCGGUGAAAUGCGCAGAUAUUGGGAGGAACACCGAUGGCGAAGGCAGUCUUCUGGGCCAUAACUGACGCUGAAGUGCGAAAGCUAGGGGAGCAAGCA